This 69-nucleotide transfer RNA is filed under the name Monodelphis domestica (gray short-tailed opossum). It matches the Rfam family "tRNA". From Rfam's summary of the family: Transfer RNA (tRNA) molecules are approximately 80 nucleotides in length. Their secondary structure includes four short double-helical elements and three loops (D, anti-codon, and T loops). The record is from Rfam by way of RNAcentral. Lineage: Eukaryota; Metazoa; Chordata; Mammalia; Didelphimorphia; Didelphidae.
GAUAAGGGAGUAUUGUAGUAUGCUAGACUGGGAAUUAAGAGGAUCUGGGUUCAAAUCCCAGCUCUGACA